RNAcentral lists this ribosomal RNA (490 nucleotides) under uncultured bacterium. RNAcentral's name for it is "partial 16S ribosomal RNA". It matches the Rfam family "Bacterial small subunit ribosomal RNA", at positions 29 to 505 of the family's 1533-position model. The record is from RNAcentral.
AGUGAACGCUGGCGGUAGGCCUAACACAUGCAAGUCGAACGGCAGCACAGUAAGAGCUUGCUCUUACGGGUGGCGAGUGGCGGACGGGUGAGGAAUACAUCGGAAUCUACUUUUUCGUGGGGGAUAACGUAGGGAAACUUACGCUAAUACCGCAUACGACCUACGGGUGAAAGCAGGGGAUCUUCGGACCUUGCGCGAUUGAAUGAGCCGAUGUCGGAUUAGCUAGUUGGCGGGGUAAAGGCCCACCAAGGCGACGAUCCGUAGCUGGUCUGAGAGGAUGAUCAGCCACAAUGGAACUGAGACACGGUCCAGACUCAUACGGGAGGCAGCAGUGGGGAAUAUUGGACAAUGGGCGCAAGCCUGAUCCAGCCAUACCGCGUGGGUGAAGAAGGCCUUCGGGUUGUAAAGCCCUUUUGUUGGGAAAGAAAAGCAGCAGGUUAAUACCCCGCUGUUCUGACGGUACCCAAAGAAUAAGCACCGGCUAACUUCG